RNAcentral lists this ribosomal RNA (407 nucleotides) under Vibrio parahaemolyticus. RNAcentral describes it as "partial 23S ribosomal RNA". It matches the Rfam family "Bacterial large subunit ribosomal RNA", at positions 2247 to 2653 of the family's 2925-position model. The record is from RNAcentral. Lineage: Bacteria; Pseudomonadati; Pseudomonadota; Gammaproteobacteria; Vibrionales; Vibrionaceae.
GCGGACAGUGCCUGGUGGGUAGUUUGACUGGGGCGGUCUCCUCCCAAAGAGUAACGGAGGAGCACGAAGGUGGGCUAAUCACGGUUGGACAUCGUGAGGUUAGUGCAAUGGCAUAAGCCCGCUUGACUGCGAGAAUGACAAUUCGAGCAGGUGCGAAAGCAGGUCAUAGUGAUCCGGUGGUUCUGAAUGGAAGGGCCAUCGCUCAACGGAUAAAAGGUACUCCGGGGAUAACAGGCUGAUACCGCCCAAGAGUUCAUAUCGACGGCGGUGUUUGGCACCUCGAUGUCGGCUCAUCACAUCCUGGGGCUGAAGUCGGUCCCAAGGGUAUGGCUGUUCGCCAUUUAAAGUGGUACGCGAGCUGGGUUUAGAACGUCGUGAGACAGUUCGGUCCCUAUCUGCCGUGGGCG